This 2755-nucleotide long non-coding RNA is filed under the name Homo sapiens (human). RNAcentral's name for it is "HSALNT0361415". Lineage: Eukaryota; Metazoa; Chordata; Mammalia; Primates; Hominidae. The record is from RNAcentral.
UCAGACUCCACGCCCGUGGGAGUAGUGAGAGGCAUAGGAUGGGACAGAAGGAGAUGCUAAACAGUGAUGCAGAAGCAGCGAAGACCUCCGCAAUCCUGCAGGGAAGCUUGGGAGCUGGUACGGCCCUGCAGAGAUGCACUGAGGGAAGCCAAGCUGCCAUGUUGUAAGCUGCCCUAUGAAGGGACCCACAUGGCAAAGAAUGGAGAAUGACCCCAGCCAGCCAAGAACUCUCAGCCUACCGGCCCAUGAGGAACUGAAUCCUGCCAACAGCGAUGUGAGUGAACUUGGAAGUGGAUCCUUCUCCAGUGGCACCAUCAGCUCACCAUCCAGCCCGCCUGAGGCUCUGCCCACUGACAGGCUACUCCCAGGACAAUACUAGCUCCCCAGGACAAGCACUACACCCAGACGGCAUGUCAUUCAACAAGUCGGGGGCAGGCUUAAGGUGAAAAAUCAUCCCAAUUCUGGAGAUAUUAUCUGAAAAAAAAAGACUGUUUUCAGGAAACAAUCUUCCCAUCUGUGGUGAUUUUUAAAAUAUAGUUCCCAAAUUUUAUGUGGGAAAGGAAAGUAGCAAUAUAGAUGCAGGAAGAGCAUUACUGUGUGGAUAAAAAGAUGAUGUAUGCAAAUGAACAUGCUCAGCCUAGAACUUAAAUUAAAGUUACUGCCUGAUAUGGUAGGUACUGUGGUCUGAAUGUGUCCCCCAGAGUUCAUGUGUUGGAAACUUAAUCUCCAGUGCAACAAUGUUGAGCAAUGGAACCUUUAAGAAGUGACUGGGUCAGGAGAGUUCUGCCCUCAUGAAUGAAUUAAUGUCAUUAUUGCAAGAGUUAGUUAUUGCAGGAGUAGGUUCCUGAUUAAAAAGUGAGUCCACCCCCACUUCUCUCUCUUUUUCUGUCACGCACAUAUGCACUCUCUUGCCCUUCUACCUUCCACCAUGUGAUGACACAGCAAGAAGGCCCUCACCAGAUGCAGGCCUCUCAACCUUGGACUUUCCAGCCUCCAGAAUUGUAAGAAAUAAAUCUCUAUUCUUUAUAAAUUACCUAGUCUCUGGCAUUCUGUUACAGCAGCACAAAAUGAAUUAAGACAGUAGGAAAGAUCAUUGACACUGUUACAGACCUCUAAGGCAUGAUGAAAAAGCAAAUAUGCCCAUGUUUAUGCAAAUAGCAGAGUCAGUUAAAGAGGCCAUAACAUUGAUCAUAUGGGACUUCAAUAGCCCUGAAAUGGAUUAGAACAAGAAUUAUGGGAUGGUAAGGAGAGGCCACAGAGCUAGCAGUGAUCAGAAGCUCUUUUCCAGGAGACUUUGUUGAGCAAUCAAAAAGAUCAUGGGCUAUUGGGGGCAGCUAUCUGAAAAGUUGAAUGCAAUGAAGGAUGAAGGAUGGGGCUAAAAUGCUAAAAGCAGCGUUUUCAACCAAGUUGCAUUUCAAUUUAGUCUUCCCAUCUGUGGUGAUUUUAAAAAUAUAGUUCCCAAAUUGCCGGUAGCAUCUGGGGAGCAGGGUCUGUGGGCAGACACCUGCUCACCAGUGAACAUUUGGAAUGACAUUUCUGGAGGGAGGUGUCAUUGUGGCUUAGAGAUUAAUCCAUAAAGAAGACAGACUUAGGGAAUCCCAGAGUAGCAGAGCUGGGAAGCCCUCGAAGAUAACAGAGCCAAACUGCCCAGAGAGGGUAAGUGACAUACUCAAUGUCACACAGCCAGUAAUUAAUGGAGAAGGGGCUGGAACUCCACUUUUCUAAGUCUCUGUUUAGGACUGCAACAUCCCCUGGAGUGAGUGAAAGGAAAGUUCUCGAAGGAAUCUCCUCAAAAGGGAUGUAGAAUAAGAGUGAAGUUGUUGCCUCAGAAAAAAAAAAAAGUGAAAAAUGAAUAACGAUUGAUAAAUUCAGAUCUCCAUUCUCGUCAGAAAAUAAAAUUUCUGGUAAUUAUUAUCCCUCACUACCUUAGAGAAAACAAGAAGAAUGAAGAUUGUCCUAACACAAUUAUGUAAAGGCAAGUCUAAGAAAGGAGAAGGAGUUGAUUCCCAUGUAGAAGUCAACCAUCUAGGCUAACUGUUCAUCCCACCCCAAUGCCUCAAACCCAGGCUGCCCACCUAUUUAUCACACUUUUGCAGGUCUGUGAAAGUCAGCAACAAAUACCGUAUCUAUUCCAGGAGAUUGUCCUAGAGCCUCCUCAAUUUCUCUGUGGACACUAUGCCUGCUCUUGUCUCCCUGGUUCUGAUUUCCAUGUCUGCUGCCAGUUUUAACAUUGUUCCUGGCCUUCUCAUAUUAGUCACCUAAGCCCCUCCUCUUGGGCCUUGGGUCUCAGCCUCAUCUCAUCCUAACACUUCCUACUAACCUGGUGAGAAGCUCCCUGCUCUAGCUAUAGCCCGCUAAGCCUGUAUGCUGGCCUAGCUCCCAGAUGCUCUCAAGUAAAAACAAAAAAGUAGACAUUUUGUCUUGAACCCUAAGUUUCCAUGCUGGGGGGAGGGAUAAGAUUAUGACCACUAUCCAUACCCCAUCUCUUGAGAAUUUGGAGCUGUGGGACGAAAAAGAAGAACCAGAGAGUUGGCUGCAGCUGGCAGAAGAAAAAGGACAGAUGGUUCCCCACAGGAAAGGCACCAUCGGCUGAAGUACCAGCCUCACUCCUGUGGCUCCUACCUGCCAUGGUGCAGGUGCAUGUGUAUGCAUGUGUGUGUGCAUGUGUGUAUGUGUCGCCACCCUGUGAUACAGGGUUGCAAGCCCCACCUGCUUGGGCCUAUGCAAAGACCUACCAAAAAAUUCUCUCAUUUGC